AUGGCAAAGGCAGCGGCAACGAGGGAGGAGAUGGUCUACUUGGCGAAGCUGGCGGAGCAGGCCGAGCGGUACGAGGAGAUGGUCGAGUUCAUGGAGAAGGUCGUGGCGGCGGCGGGGACCGUCGAGCUCACCAUCGAGGAGAGGAACCUGCUCUCAGUCGCGUACAAGAACGUCAUCGGGGCGCGUCGUGCUUCCUGGCGCAUCGUGUCCUCCAUCGAGCAGAAGGAGGAAGGGCGUGGAGCGGCGGGGCACGCCGCCGCGGCGCGCGGGUACCGCGCACUUGUCGAGGCCGAGCUCUCCAACAUCUGCGCGGGGAUCCUCCGUCUCCUCGACGAACGCCUAGUCCCCGCCGCUGCCGCCGUCGACGCCAAGGUAUUCUACCUGAAGAUGAAGGGAGACUACCAUCGCUACCUCGCGGAGUUCAAGUCGGCCGCCGAGCGCAAGGAUGCCGCUGACUCCACCCUCGGUGCCUACCAGGCCGCUCAGGACAUAGCCAUGAAGGAGCUGCCACCGACUCACCCCAUCAGGCUGGGCCUCGCGCUCAACUUCUCCGUGUUCUACUAUGAGAUCCUCAACUCGCCUGAUCGUGCGUGCUCGCUCGCCAAACAGGCCUUCGAUGAAGCCAUCGCUGAGCUGGAUUCCCUCGGAGAAGAUUCCUACAAGGACAGCACCCUGAUCAUGCAACUUCUCCGUGACAAUCUCACUUUGUGGACCUCUGAUAUGCAGGAUGACGCUGGCGAUGAAAUGAGGGAUUCAAGCAAGCCUGAGGAUGAGCAGUAG
This 780-nucleotide ribosomal RNA is filed under the name Triticum aestivum (bread wheat). Its description in RNAcentral is "partial small subunit ribosomal RNA". The record is from RNAcentral. Lineage: Eukaryota; Viridiplantae; Streptophyta; Magnoliopsida; Poales; Poaceae.